Molecule: transfer RNA, 94 nt
Filed under: Acidimicrobiia bacterium
Lineage: Bacteria; Bacillati; Actinomycetota; Acidimicrobiia
Description: tRNA-Sec
Rfam family: Selenocysteine transfer RNA
Source: RNAcentral
GGAGGCGUCUGAACGCCUGGUGGGUUCCCCGGUCUUCAAAACCGGUGAGAGGCAGAUUCUGUCUCUGGCGGGUUCGAUUCCCGUCCGCCUCCGC